GACGAACGCUGGCGGCGUGCUUAACACAUGCAAGUCGAACGGAAACGCCCUGCUUGCAGGGUCCUCCAGUGGCCAACGGGUGGGUAACAGGUGGGUGAUCUGGCCUGUACUUCUGGGUAAGCCUUGGAAACUGGGUCCAAUCCCGGAUAGGAGCCAUUUCUUGCGUGAUGGUUGGAAAGAUCUUUCGGUGUUGGACGAGCUCGCGGGCUAUCAGCUUGUUGGGGGGGUAAUGGGCUACCGAGGCGGCGAGGCGUAGCCGGACUGCGGGGGUGGGAGGCCACCUUGAGUCCGAGAGACGGCCCAGGCGCCUACGGGAGGCAACAGGGGGGAAGAUUGCACCAUGGGCGCAAGCCUGAUGCAGAGGGGCCGCGGGUGGGAUGACCGCCUUCUGGUUGUAGACUACUUUCGCUAGGGACGAAGCUUUUUGUGACGGUACCUAGAUAAGAAGCACCGGCUAACUACGUG
This 465-nucleotide ribosomal RNA is filed under the name uncultured bacterium. Its description in RNAcentral is "partial 16S ribosomal RNA". It matches the Rfam family "Bacterial small subunit ribosomal RNA", at positions 28 to 507 of the family's 1533-position model. The record is from RNAcentral.